UACGUAGGGUGCAAGCGUUGUCCGGAAUUAUUGGGCGUAAAGAGCUCGUAGGCGGUCUGUUGCGUCGGCUGUGAAAACCCGGGGCUCAACUCCGGGCCUGCAGCCGAUACGGGCAGACUAGAGUUCGGCAGGGGGAGACUGGAAUUCCUGGUGUAGCGGUGAAAUGCGCAGAUAUCAGGAGGAACACCGGUGGCGAAGGCGGGUCUCUGGGCCGAUACUGACGCUGAGGAGCGAAAGCGUGGGGAGCGAACAGG
Molecule: ribosomal RNA, 254 nt
Filed under: uncultured bacterium
Lineage: Bacteria
Description: partial 16S ribosomal RNA
Rfam family: Bacterial small subunit ribosomal RNA
Source: RNAcentral